ACAGUGGAUCAUGAGGUCAUAGGUGGGUUGCAGCCGGUGGCACGGCAGAAGCCCAGAAACAAGGAAUAGUGACGGUCUGCGGGAGCAGGUGCCAGUUCUGUAUCGGCCACACACACAGAACAAGACGACAAGCACGAAGGAAAAGAAAAAAUAUGAAGCAGGAGAAAUCGGGAUAGCCAUUAACUCCAGUGCAGUUCAAAAGAUGGCAUGAGUUCCACAAACACUGAGAACACAUUGAAGAAGCUUGCCCGGCUGAGUAACAAGCAGGUGGUUCAGCCGCUGAAGUCCCCCACCACGCAGAACAGAUCCCUGGAGGGAGAAAGGCAGAGGAAUUGCUUAUGAUCACCUUCUGUCGCUCAACGGUCAAAGGAUGCCCCAUGGGAUGUCAACUGCAUGGCUGGGCUGAUUCAAAGAGCCAACUUCUACUCCUGUAUCACAAGACCUUGUCGGACUUGAGAGGAGGUAGGAGCGCCCUCACUCCCGGCGUGUGGGACCUGGGUCGGCCCUCGCUCCCGGGGGGCUGAGCAUGGAGAGGCGCAGCAAAGGGAAAGCCAGCCAGGCUGUCUGCUUGAGGACGACCAAGGCCUGGGCCAGAGGCAGGAACAAGAACCUGGAGAGGACCACAUCCAGGUCCUUAAAGCUGAUAAAAUGUUAUGAACGUCAUAAACCAUUUUAAACCAAAUGGUCAGACAUACUCUUCCGUUAGGCAAGACAAUUGCUUUCAACAUCUUUCUGCACCUGCUUCCAUCCAGAACCAUAACAGCAGGGGAGAAUCACAGAAGGGACAUGGGGGAGGGGGAGUCAGCAGAGUAUAUGGUGCAUCAUCAUACGGAGGGGGCCCUACACAGAGCACCUCGCUUUGUCCCCGAGGCCACCGUAAGCGAGCAUCGCUAUUGACACCUACACAUGCAGAAACCAGCAUCCACGAGGAUCAGAGUUACAACUAAGCUAAAUUGUAAGUUGGAAGUUAAGCCCCUUGGUGGCCCCGAGUCUCUGUGCCACCAGGUUGAACCAAGUGAUCCUCGGUCAGGAGCAUCAACCCUCCUUCCCGGACUAUUCUGUCUUAUAGCACAAACAUGUUGACAUGGUGAAUAGCGUAGCUCCUCAGUCUCCUGAGAGUGAAAAUCGGCUCGGCUGACAGGAAGGAAUCAGGACACAGCCCUGUAUGGGUCAGGCUUGGAGGACAGACCCAGACGCACCCGCUGUCCAUCUGCAGGAGGUGGUGCAGGGCCGUGACCUGCCGUGUCCAGCCCGCUUCUGAGUGACAGGGCCUCCUUCCAGUGCCCCCCACAGCCCUCAGCUCUCUCCACCUAGAGCUGGGACGCUGGGCUCCUCAAGUGUCCUUGCCAAAUGCCGGGUUAACCUUUUACUAAUCCCAUCCCAGGAAGAGACAUCGGUCCAAAUGGGUCCUGCCUCCUGCCCCGUGUCCCGACUUAGAAGGGGCCCUCCCGCCCUGCUGUUGGAGACACCAGGCUCCUUCAGGUCAGGACGGGACUACAGAUGCAUUGUGAACUGUCACAGGGGUGAGCGUAAUAGGUUUUAUGCUUAAAACAGAUUCCCACCGUGCCGAAGACAGACCCCGAACCAGCACACGUAGCUGGAAGUAUUUGCCAGGUUGUUUACCUCGGUACAGGUGAUUCUACCAUUUUAAAUCAACGUUCUCCUGCUCAUCCCGCACAGCCCCUUCCCCGGAGGAAGCAAAUCCCCGUGUUACUUCCCGCAAUGAGGGCUACAUCUGAAACGGCUGCACCUGUUGGCCCAGCACAGUCUCUGACGUUGGGGAAAAUGCAUUGCAGAGGACGCUGUUCACUGACAGUGAGGCCGUUCUCUCAUCAUCUUGGAGCCACAUGACGACAGCGCACAGGGCCAAGCGGACGCUUGCACAAAGAGCGCAGGGCACCUCACAAGCUCCUCGAGUCCCAGGUGCACAGAGGAGUCCGAGCAGCUCACACUUGGAAGAGAUCUGAGAUCGUUCGGCCCCAACACACCCAUCGUACCUGUGCCAUCACAGACCUUGGAAAGGUCAGCCCUUGACCCCGGAACGCCAGGAGCCACGACUGAACACAUCACAACCGACUUCUGGUCAAGGGUCCUUCUAUUAACAUACCUGACACCUCACAUUUAUGAUUCUCUGAGUAAAUUUCAGAAUUUCAUUAAAGAGGGGGGCACCUGGGAGGCUCAGUCAGUUAAGUGUCUGACUUCAGUUCAGGUCACGAUCUCACGGUUCAUGGGUUCAAGCCCCGCGUCGGGCUCUGUGCUGACAGCUCAGAGCCUGGAGCCUGCUUCGGAUUCUGCGUCUCCCUCUCUCUCUGCCCCUCUCCUGCUCAUGAGCGCUCUCUCUCUCUC
Long non-coding RNA from Neofelis nebulosa (Clouded leopard), 2346 nucleotides. RefSeq lists it as uncharacterized. The record is from RefSeq and is a predicted model, not a curated record. NCBI's taxonomy places the organism in Eukaryota, Metazoa, Chordata, Mammalia, Carnivora, Felidae. The transcript has 3 exons.